UACGUAGGGUGCGAGCGUUGUCCGGAUUUAUUGGGCGUAAAGAGCUCGUAGGCGGUUUGUCGCGUCGGCCGUGAAAUCUCCACGCUUAACGUGGAGCGUGCGGUCGAUACGGGCAGACUUGAGUUCGGUAGGGGAGACUGGAAUUCCUGGUGUAGCGGUGAAAUGCGCAGAUAUCAGGAGGAACACCGGUGGCGAAGGCGGGUCUCUGGGCCGAUACUGACGCUGAGGAGCGAAGGCGUGGGGAGCGAACAGG
RNAcentral lists this ribosomal RNA (253 nucleotides) under uncultured bacterium. RNAcentral describes it as "partial 16S ribosomal RNA". It matches the Rfam family "Bacterial small subunit ribosomal RNA", at positions 524 to 776 of the family's 1533-position model. The record is from RNAcentral.